AAUGAGCUCCUAACUGCUCCAUUCUCUGAGAAAGAGGUGUUUGAGGCCAUUACACAAAUGGAGAAUAAUAAGGCUCCAGGUCCGGAUGGGUUUCCGGCGGAGUUCUACAAAAGGUGCUGGCAUUUUAUUAAGGGAGAUUUGAUGCCCAUGUUUCAGGAGUUUUUUGAGGGACAUCUUCAGCUGUUUAAGCUGAAUUUUGGAACGAUAACUCUUCUUCCUAAGAAGACAGACACUAUUCACAUUGAGCAGUUCAGACCUAUAUGUCUGCUUAAUGUGAGUUUCAAAAUCUUCACCAAGGUCGGGACGAACAGACUUACGCAGAUUGCGCACUCUGUGGUUCAUCCAUCCCAGACCGCUUUCAUGCCGGAUAGAAAUAUCCUUGAAGGGGUUAUUGUCUUGCAUGAAACGCUCCAUGAAAUCCACUCAAAAGAACUUGAUGGCAUAGUUUUUAAAGUGGAUUUUGAAAAACCAUAUGAUAAAGUUAAAUGGCCUUUCCUUCAACAAGCUUUCCGUAUGAAAGGUUUUGAUCCGGCUUGGAGAAACCAGAUUGAUUCCUUUACGCAAAAAGAGAGUGUAGGGAUUAAAGUGAAUGACGACAUAGGACACUAUUUCCAAACACACAAGGGGCUAAGGCAGGGAGACCCGAUGUCACCGAUCCUGUUCAACAUAGUAGCUGAUAUGCUGACUAUUUUAAUAGGUCGGGCAAAGGAUGCAGGGCAGGUAGGUGGCCUAGUUCCACAUCUAGUUGACGGAGGGAUUUCCAUUCUCCAGUAUGCUGAUGAUACUAUCAUCUUUAUGGAGCAUGAUUUGGUGAAAGCAAGAAACAUGAAGCUUUUGUUAUGCUUGUUUGAACAAUUGUCUGGCCUCAAAAUUAACUUCCACAAGAGCGAAUUGUUUUGCUUCGGAAGAGCAAAGGAUGAACAGGACACGUAUAAACAAUUGUUCGGAUGUGAAUUGGGUUCCUUCCCAUUUACGUACUUAGGUAUACCCAUUCAUCAUCGUAAGUUUACUAACAUUGAGUGGAAAUGCAUCGAGGAUCGUUUUGAAAAGAAACUGAGCUGCUGGAAAGGGAAGCUCAUGUCAUACGGAGGACGAUUGAUUCUGAUUAAUUCGGUCCUUACCAGUAUGCCUAUGUUUCUCUUAUCCUUCUUCCUAGUUCCGGUGGGUGUCAGGAAAAGGUUAGAUUUCUACCGAUCUCGAUUCUUUUGGCAGAAUGAUGAGCACAAACGGAAGUAUAGGCUUGCUAAGUGGGAUAUAUUUUGUAGGCCGAAGGACCAA
RNAcentral lists this ribosomal RNA (1278 nucleotides) under Triticum aestivum (bread wheat). RNAcentral's name for it is "partial small subunit ribosomal RNA". Lineage: Eukaryota; Viridiplantae; Streptophyta; Magnoliopsida; Poales; Poaceae. The record is from RNAcentral.